AGAGUUUGAUCCUGGCUCAGAUUGAACGCUGGCGGCAGGCCUAACACAUGCAAGUCGAGCGGAUGACGGGAGCUUGCUCCUUGAUUCAGCGGCGGACGGGUGAGUAAUGCCUAGGAAUCUGCCUGGUAGUGGGGGACAACGUUUCGAAAGGAACGCUAAUACCGCAUACGUCCUACGGGAGAAAGCAGGGGACCUUCGGGCCUUGCGCUAUCAGAUGAGCCUAGGUCGGAUUAGCUAGUUGGUGGGGUAAUGGCUCACCAAGGCGACGAUCCGUAACUGGUCUGAGAGGAUGAUCAGUCACACUGGAACUGAGACACGGUCCAGACUCCUACGGGAGGCAGCAGUGGGGAAUAUUGGACAAUGGGCGAAAGCCUGAUCCAGCCAUGCCGCGUGUGUGAAGAAGGUCUUCGGAUAGUAAAGCACUUUAAGUUGGGAGGAAGGGCAGUAAGCUAAUACCUUGCUGCUUUGACGUUACCGACAGAAUAAGCACCGGCUAACUCUGUGCCAGCAGCCGCGGUAAUACAGAGGGUGCAAGCGUUAAUCGGAAUUACUGGGCGUAAAGCGCGCGUAGGUGGUUUGUUAAGUUGGAUGUGAAAGCCCCGGGCU
RNAcentral lists this ribosomal RNA (606 nucleotides) under uncultured Gammaproteobacteria bacterium. RNAcentral describes it as "bacterial SSU rRNA". It matches the Rfam family "Bacterial small subunit ribosomal RNA", at positions 8 to 609 of the family's 1533-position model. The record is from RNAcentral. Lineage: Bacteria; Pseudomonadati; Pseudomonadota; Gammaproteobacteria.